AACGAACGCUGGCGGCAUGCCUAACACAUGCAAGUCGAACGAAGCCUUCGGGCUUAGUGGCGCACGGGUGCGUAACACGUGGGAAUCUGCCCUUCGGUUCGGAAUAACAGUUAGAAAUGACUGCUAAUACCGGAUGAUGACGUAAGUCCAAAGAUUUAUCGCCGAAGGAUGAGCCCGCGUAGGAUUAGGUAGUUGGUAGGGUAAUGGCCUACCAAGCCGACGAUCCUUAGCUGGUCUGAGAGGAUGAUCAGCCACACUGGGACUGAGACACGGCCCAGACUCCUACGGGAGGCAGCAGUGGGGAAUAUUGGACAAUGGGCGAAAGCCUGAUCCAGCAAUGCCGCGUGAGUGAUGAAGGCCUUAGGGUGUAAAGCUCUUUUGCCAGGGAAGAUGAUGACUGUACCUGGAGAAUAAGCCCCGGCUAACUUCGUGCCAGCAGCCGCGGUAAAGUACAGUGU
RNAcentral lists this ribosomal RNA (458 nucleotides) under uncultured bacterium. Its description in RNAcentral is "bacterial SSU rRNA". It matches the Rfam family "Bacterial small subunit ribosomal RNA", at positions 29 to 533 of the family's 1533-position model. The record is from RNAcentral.